Molecule: ribosomal RNA, 843 nt
Filed under: uncultured bacterium
Lineage: Bacteria
Description: bacterial SSU rRNA
Rfam family: Bacterial small subunit ribosomal RNA
Source: RNAcentral
CAGCUACACAUGCAAGCCGAGCGGUAUUGUUUCUUCGGAAAUGAGAGAGCGGCGUACGGGUGCGGAACACGUGUGCAACCUGCCUUUAUCUGGGGGAUAGCCUUUCGAAAGGAAGAUUAAUACUCCAUAAUAUAUUGAACGGCAUCGUUUAAUAUUGAAAGCUCCGGCGGAUAGAGAUGGGCACGCGCAAGAUUAGCUAGUUGGUGAGGUAACGGCUCACCAAGGCAAUGAUCUUUAGGGGGCCUGAGAGGGUGAUCCCCCACACUGGUACUGAGACACGGACCAGACUCCUACGGGAGGCAGCAGUGAGGAAUAUUGGUCAAUGGGUGCAAGCCUGAACCAGCCAUCCCGCGUGAAGGACGACUGCCCUAUGGGUUGUAAACUUCUUUUGUAUAGGGAUAAACCUUCCCACGUGUGGGAAGCUGAAGGUACUAUACGAAUAAGCACCGGCUAACUCCGUGCCAGCAGCCGCGGUAAUACGGAGGGCGCAAGCGUUAUCCGGAUUUAUUGGGUUUAAAGGGUCCGUAGGCGGACUUAUAAGUCAGUGGUGAAAGCCUGUCGCUUAACGAUAGAACUGCCAUUGAUACUGUAAGUCUUGAGUAUAAUUGAGGUGGCUGGAAUAAGUAGUGUAGCGGUGAAAUGCAUAGAUAUUACUUAGAACACCAAUUGCGAAAGCAGGUUACCAAGUUAUAACUGACGCUGAGGGACGAAAGCGUGGGGAGCGAACAGGAUUAGAUACCCUGGUAGUCCACGCCGUAACGAUGCUAACUCGUUUUUGGGGCGCAAGCUUCAGAGACAGCGAAAGUGAUAGUUAGCCACCUGGGGAGUACGCUCGCAGAGUGA